RNAcentral lists this unclassified non-coding RNA (1479 nucleotides) under Leishmania donovani. Its description in RNAcentral is "gene:unknown". The record is from RNAcentral. Lineage: Eukaryota; Euglenozoa; Kinetoplastea; Trypanosomatida; Trypanosomatidae.
ACGUGCACAUCGGUGUGUGUCCGACUCUCUUCUCGCGCUCCCUCCAUCCUACGCCGCCCUCUUGUCCUCCGCUCGGCACACUCCCCCCUUCCCCCGUCUCCGUCGUCGUUUCCGCCAAGGUUUUGAUUCGCAUUCGAAAAAGCACCGCGACAAGUCACCCCACAGCGCUCUGCCCCCUCCCCUUGACCUCACACCUGCCCCACCCACUACCACCAUCGCUGUCAUACACACCACCGUGCACGUCCCUUCCACCACGCUUCCGCGUCUGCAACUUUCGGACGGCUUGUGAGCUUCUCUUUUGUUUUCAUCGCUUGGCCGCUCUGGCAUGCCGUGCCAGAUCGAAGCCGCCUUCAACCUCACAACAUCAGCACCUACCGGCUUUGCCCUCCCCCCUAUCCUCAGAGCCCGUAGGCAACACUUCUCUUGUCGCACCCCCUCUCCCCCCACUUUACCGUCCUUUGUACCCCCUACCCCCACACGCGCACAAACACACACACACACACACCAAUUUCGGUGCCUUCGCGUGCUUCCUUAGAAGCAAAGAGCGGAUUUCCUCGCUUCUCUGCAUCCCUUUGCCUGCCCCUCCCCCUCCCCCUCCCCUCCUCUCCCCUCUUACACAGGUACACGCCACACAUAUCUACUUGGCAAGCAAUCCAUUCAUACUUAGACCCCCCCCCCUCUUUUGUGUGCUCCAGGGAACCACGUACGUCUCCAAGACCUCCUCCCUCCCCACACGUGCGCCCUCUCUCCCUUUUUGUUGUUCUCUCCCCCGCUCAUCGUUGCAGCGGGUGAAGAGCCGGCGCUGAGGCCGACGCACUUGCCUGUGCGUCGGCCCAGGAGACGACGUGUGCGCAAAGGAGGAAGUGAAAAGGCACAGAAAAAGAGACAAGGUACACACGCAGAGCGACUGCCCCCCUCCCCCAUCCCUCCCUCCCUCCCUCUUGUACCUCUUUAUCAUACCUCACCGUCGCUACUUGUAGUCUCGGAUACACGGAACCCAUCUACGCCCUGCCCCGCCGCUCCUUUCUUUUUCCCUUUUUGUUUCCUUCUCACUACCCCCUCUCUCCUUUGCGGUGGAAGAGUUGCGCACGGUUCGCGCGCCCCCCUUCACCCCCCCCUUCUCCUGCAUCGCCGCUUUCCGGCCGGCAGAAUUUCUUCUCUCUUUAGUUUCUCUUAUUUCACGUUCUACGCGCCACACGAAGCGGGGCCGGAGAGAGGGGGGCCCGAAAAAAAAAAACAGACGCACGAAGAGAGCACAAACGCCGCCUGUGACCAAGACGGCGCGACGUGACUUUCUCUCCUUCCUCUCUGUCUUUGCUGUUGCGCGUGCUCUCUUUUAACGCAUCACUUCUUUGUUGGCUCCGGCGGACGGCCUUGACGCGUCUGCGCAGAAACGAAACAAAUCAGGAGAGUGUGGUUGCUGCCCACCCCUCACUCUCCCCUCUUUCUCUCUCUCUGCCCGGCUCGUUGCGGCGUUAG